UCCCCCGGGGCCAUGUUCCAUGUCGAUGACUACGAAGUCGUAGCCAGAGAAAGCGACGAUCUCAGCCAAAGUGGGGGAGAAUGAGAGGAGGAAGAUGCCGUAGAGGGUUUCGCCGUUGCGGAGGCGAGAUUUGAGGGAAGGCGGGGAGGUAGAAGGAGAGGGAUUAGGGGAGCAUUGGAGAGGGGAAAGAGAGGAGAAUUUGGUGGGGAUUAAGGGUUUCAGUGAGGAAAUGGAAGGCCUGAAAGAGGGAAAGGAGAGGGAUUUGGAAGAAACGAAGGGAAUAGGUUUUCCGUUGGAAAUUUUCCGGGCUCCGGCAACGGCACCUGCGG
Molecule: long non-coding RNA, 329 nt
Filed under: Gossypium barbadense (sea-island cotton)
Lineage: Eukaryota; Viridiplantae; Streptophyta; Magnoliopsida; Malvales; Malvaceae
Description: long non-coding RNA (GBAR_LNC001424)
Source: RNAcentral